GGGUUUGCACCAAUUCUGCUCUCCUUAGCUUCCUUGGUAGCAACGUUCACUUACUCGACCUUGUCCUCUGACUUGUCGGGCUCCCUUAAGCGAAUAUGAGCUCUGGAGCAGUCCAACUCUCCAGCUGCUUCGAUCAUACCUCUGCAUGAUCAAGUCCCUCCCAUGGGACUCAUUGGUACUUGCAUUCGAACUUUUCCCUUGGUGGAACACAGCCCCCAUAUGCUAAUGACCAAGGUUUUCAUCCGAUGCAAAAUUCGAUGCAAGCACGGAAGACCCGCCUCUGCGGUACCAUGGCCUUCACUCCUUGAAUCCAUAGCCCUUCUUGUCGUCAUGUUGUUCACCGAAGUGGAGCUUCCAGUAGCUCCCGAUCAUACCUCCAUAUGAUCUAAUCUCUCACGGGACUAUGUCGUGUGUAUUGCAUUGCCACGAACUGUUCCACCACGAUCCGCUGCACCCUGUCGCCUCCUGGUGACAUCUUCAUCGCAUUCUGAUCCUUGUGGAAUAAACUUGAAUUGUGAACCCUCCAUGUGUGGCCUCUACCAAUACAUCGCAGGGUCUCUUCCACCUUCGAUUUUGUUCGCUCCUUUGGCAAUCGACCUUCAUCCACCCACUCUUGGUUCACACCUAGAUGAAGCACCGCUCUAGGACAGUCCAUCGCCUAGUAGCUCCCGAAGUCCACCGACUUCGCUGUAAUUUGUGCACCAUUGCCUGGAUCCUGGGCCUCUGCCCCUACCAGCACAAUCUCUGCUGCGCACUGCUUCCUUCAUGGCAACUUGAAUGGCAACACUGUGGCAUAUUCUUCAAGAGUACCCGCCUCUACGUCCUCUUGCCCCGUGCUAAGGCCUUCUGAACCCAACUUCGCCUCCGCAAAUUGAGUCGCCUUAGUUCCUCCAUCAAAUGCUCCUCCGAGAUAAGGUGCAUGUGCCCAGAAGCUCCCUUCGUCUUUGGCACCAUGCAAGAUGAGUCCACUCCAUCAGAAUGAAGGACCUAUCGAACAACAUGAUUCUACUCUUGCCUCUGCAAGAGUUCAUGUCCUUGACCUCUGUCUAAGGAAAGCACUGUGCCUCUGCUCCA
RNAcentral lists this long non-coding RNA (1074 nucleotides) under Musa acuminata (dwarf banana). RNAcentral's name for it is "long non-coding RNA (MACU_LNC009238)". The record is from RNAcentral. Lineage: Eukaryota; Viridiplantae; Streptophyta; Magnoliopsida; Zingiberales; Musaceae.